GCUGGGCGUGGUGGCGCACACCUGUAAUCCCAGUAACUCAGGAGUCUGAGGCCUGAGGAUUGUGAGCUCAAACCUAGCUUCAGCAACUUAGGGAGGCCCUAUGCAAUUCAUCAAGACCCUGUCUCUA
RNAcentral lists this small RNA (127 nucleotides) under Marmota monax (woodchuck). The record is from RNAcentral. Lineage: Eukaryota; Metazoa; Chordata; Mammalia; Rodentia; Sciuridae.